Molecule: ribosomal RNA, 450 nt
Filed under: uncultured bacterium
Lineage: Bacteria
Description: partial 16S ribosomal RNA
Rfam family: Bacterial small subunit ribosomal RNA
Source: RNAcentral
GUGAGGAAUUUUGCGCAAUGGCCGCAAGGCUGACGCAGCAACGCCGCGUGGGUGAUGAAGGCCUUCGGGUCGUAAAGCCCUGUCAGGUGGGAAGAAAGGCCUUAAGGAGAAACGCUUGAGGUUUGACGGUACCACCAGAGGAAGCACCGGCUAACUCCGUGCCAGCAGCCGCGGUAAUACGGAGGGUGCGAGCGUUAUUCGGAAUUACUGGGCGUAAAGCGCGUGUAGGCGGGGGGACAAGUCUGAUGUGAAAGCCCUGGGCUUAACCUGGGAAGUGCAUUGGAAACUGUUUUUCUUGAGUACUGGAGAGGAAGGGGGAAUUCCCGGUGUAGAGGUGAAAUUCGUAGAGAUCGGGAGGAAUACCAGUGGCGUAGGCGCCCUUCUGGACGGUAACUGACGCUGAGACGCGAAAGCGUGGGGAGCAAACAGGAUUAGAAACCCGAGUAGUCC